AUGGGAUGGACACUGGAAGGACAUGGGAGGGACAUGGGAGGGACACGGGAUCUACAUGGGACACGGGUUGGACACGGGAUGGACAUGGGAGGGACAUGGGAAGGCCAUGGGAUCUACAUGGGACACAGGAUGACACGGGAGGGACAUGGGAGGGACAUGGGAGGGACAUGGGACAUAGGAUGGACACAGGAUGGACACAGGAUCUACAUGGGACAUGGGAAGGACAUGGGAUGGACACAGGAUGGACAUGGGAUGGACAUGGGAGGGACACGGGAGGGACAUAGGACAUGGGAAGGACAUGGGAUGUACAUGGAAUAUGGGAAUGACACGGGAUGGACACAGGACAUGGGAAGGACAUGGGAUGGACACGGGAAGGACAUGGGAUCUACAUGGGACAUGGGUUGGACAUGGGAGGGACAUGGGAUCUACACGGGACAUGGGAUGAACAUGGGAAGGACACAGGAUCUACACGGGACAUGGGAUGCACACGAGACAGACAUGGGAUCUACAUGGGAAGGACAUGGGAUGGACACAGGAUGGACAUGGGAGGGACACGGGAUCUACACGGGAUGCACACGGAAUGGACACGGAAUCUACAUGGGACAUGGAAAGGACAGAGGAUGGACAUGGGAUGGACAUGGGAAGGACAUGGGAUGGACACGGGAUCUACAUGGGACACAGGAUGGACAGGGGAUGGACAUGGGAUGGACAUGGGAUGGACACGGGAUCUACAUGGGAUGGACACGGGAAGAACAUGGGAUGGACACAGGAUGGACAUGGAAUGGACACUGGAUCUACACGGGACAUGGGAUGGACAGGGGAUCUACACGGGAUGGACACAGGAAGGACAUGGGAGGGACAUGGGAUCUACACGGGACACAGGAUGGACACAGGAUCUACAUGGGACAUGGGAUAGACACAGGGUGGACACGGGAAGGACACAGGAGAGACAUGGGAGGAACAUGGGAUCUACAUGGGACAUGGGAUGGACAUGGGAAGGACACAGGAUGGACACGGGAGGGACAUGGGAUCUACACGGGAUGGACACAGGAAGGACAUGGGAGGGACAUGGGAUCUACACGGGACACAGGAUGGACACAGGAUCUACAUGGGACAUGGGAUAGACACAGGGUGGACACGGGAAGGACACAGGAUCUACACGGGAUGGACACAGGAAGGACAUGGGAGGGACAUGGGAUCUACACGGGACACAGGAUGGACACAGGAUCUACAUGGGACAUGGGAU
RNAcentral lists this long non-coding RNA (1246 nucleotides) under Calidris pugnax (ruff). Its description in RNAcentral is "lncRNA (ENSCPUG00000008989.1)". The record is from RNAcentral. Lineage: Eukaryota; Metazoa; Chordata; Aves; Charadriiformes; Scolopacidae.